Molecule: ribosomal RNA, 301 nt
Filed under: uncultured bacterium
Lineage: Bacteria
Description: partial 16S ribosomal RNA
Rfam family: Bacterial small subunit ribosomal RNA
Source: RNAcentral
CAGCAGCCGCGGGAAUACGAAGGGUGCAAGCGUUACUCGGAAUUACUGGGCGUAAAGCGUGCGUAGGUGGUGGUUUAAGUCCGUUGUGAAAGCCCUGGGCUCAACCUGGGAAUUGCAGUGGAUACUGGAUCACUAGAGUGUGGUAGAGGAUAGUGGAAUUUCCGGUGUAGCAGUGAAAUGCGUAGAGAUCGGAAGGAACAUCUGUGGCGAAGGCGACUAUCUGGGCCAACACUGACACUGAGGCACGAAAGCGUGGGGAGCAAACAGGAUUAGAUACCCCGGUAGUCCCUGUCUCUUAUAC